RNA transcript from Cheilinus undulatus (humphead wrasse), 4504 nucleotides. It is a transcript of the gene named zinc finger, FYVE domain containing 19, with no coding region annotated. The transcript is spliced from 12 exons. The record is from RefSeq and is a predicted model, not a curated record. NCBI's taxonomy places the organism in Eukaryota, Metazoa, Chordata, Actinopteri, Labriformes, Labridae.
UUGAUUAAAACAACGCUGAAAGGUUGCGUUUAGCUUAUAGAGAGAGACUGGUGUCCACAAAGCCAUAUUUCUAUUUUAUAUUUGAACGUUAUCCGUCAUAUCGCGUUUGCCACUCUCAUGACUCUUUACGCCUCAGUAUGGACAACCGUUGUUUCUCUUGUACUACAAAGUUUAGUCUCUUUAAGAAAGAGCUGGGCUGUAAGAACUGUGGUCGUGCUUUCUGCUCCAGCUGUUUGACUUUCAGUGCUGUGGUGCCUCGCUGUGGCAACACCCAGCAGAAGGUCUGUAAACAGUGCCAUGGUCACCUUACAAGCGGAGCAUCUUCAAACAAUGCUGGGAAGUGGUCUCCUCCUGAAAAUUACAAAAAACGGGUGGCUGCCCUUGAGGCCAAACAACAGGGACAGCCAACAAAGCCUCCUACUCAUGGAGGCUAUAGAAACGUCAGAGAAGGCCUUGUACCAACCAAAGGCCUGAGUAAUGAAGACCAAGCUAUUGCAGAAAGACUUCAGAAGCUGAAAGAAGACACUAAACCAAGUAAAAAGUCUAUACCCUCUCAGAAAGAGCUUGAGUCUCGCCUUGCUGCACUGAAAGCUCCCAGCCAGUCAGUGCCUUCUCUUGGAGAGAUGGAGGAUCGUCUGGCUGCUCUUCGGGGUCAACCUCCACCAUCUCAAGGUCCUCUACCUGUGCAUAAGCCUCCAGAUAACAGGACUCAGACUGAGCAGGCCAACGAUCUGAUUACUCAGUUGACAGAAGAAGUUGCCAUUGACAACCAGCAAUCAAAUCCUGACAGCAGUGUAGAUGGCUGUAUGAAUGAUCUUAACAAAGGAGAAGAUGCAACAGUGACUGAGAAUUUGGAAGACAAUGAGAAUACAGUCAAGCAGCUUGAGGCAGAGAAGUCCCGUCUGCUGGAGGAGGCUAUACAGGAGCUGAGGAAUGAACACCAUUCUCAGGAUCAGAUCCUUGACAUGGCAAAGAGGCUGGCAAAACUGAAGGGACAGGAUCCAGACAAAGUUACUAUGGAGGACUUUCAGCAUCCUGACAGUGAGGAGGAGACUGAGGAAGAAGCUGUUAGGAGAGUCUUGAAGCAGCUCUCUGAGGAGGCUGCGUUGGAUGAGGCUAGCGGCUACAACAUACCUUUAGAACCCAGUGGACCUAAGAACACAGAAAAGAAGAAGACCUCAAGGAAGCCGAUUCCCGCGCCCAACAGUCGGAUUUCAUCAGCUGCUAUUGCACAUCAGUCAACAGACAGUGACGACGAAGAGCUUCCCUGGUGCUGCAUUUGUAACCAAGACGCUGUGCUCCGCUGUCACACCUGUGAUGGAGACCUUUACUGCAACCGCUGCUUCAGGGAAGGCCAUGAUAAAUAUGACAGGAUGGAGCAUCACACCACAAACUACACUGCACCAAAGAAGAAAAAGAAGACAUGAUAGUGAGACUGUGCUGAAGGUGUUUGCCUCAUCAAGCUCUGGCCUGUUAGUACUGUUAGACUAGUGCUUUAGACGGUCUUUAAGGAACACACUGGCAAGUUUGUUAGUAAAGCUGGAGAAGAAACGAGUCUCAGUCAGCCUGCUCUGUCUCCCUCCUCUGUGUCUGUGGGUCAGAGCUGCUGUGACUGCAGUGUGAUAGCUGAAAUCAGAGUAAGACAUAAGGACCAAGUAAGAUUUUUUUAAUUAUUUAAAUAAAGUAAUAUAAAUGCACAUAAAUGGUACUUCAUUUACCUGCUUUUUUCAUUUUUUUAUUUAAAAAAUUUCAAUAUAUCACAGAGACAAAAACUACUGCAGUAUCAGUUUUUUCCCAUGUUGCUCUGCCCUACUUUGAAGUGUGUAUUUCUCAACUCAAAACAUAGAUAUUGAGUAGAAUAAAAAGAAAUACAAAACUUUGAAUUUUUACAGUACUGCAGGAACUUCUAAAGGUGCAAUAGUGGCACUAUCGUAAACUUUAAGUUCUUUCUGCAGGCAUUUUUGUAAACCCUACAAGCAGCCUUUAAUUUGAUUAUGUAAUUUCACAGCCUGACAUUUUGAUUGCAGUCAGAUUAAUUGUGGGGCACUAAAUCAGCCCAUAAACAUGUUCAUUUCAGUCAUAAAAUUUUUACAUACAAUCUAAAGCUACUUUAUUAGCCAGUCUCAACUGGACAGAGGAAGAACUGCAAGUGGCUUCAUUUUUUCAACACCAAAGGUUGCUGUUUGUUGUGCAGCCACUAUUCAUGAAUUUUUGUCAUACUAUUCUGGAUAUUCAUUAACUGUGAAAAGCAAGUUUUUGCACAGGACUAAAUUUCUAGUUCCAAGUCCAGCACUUGGAGGUUACCAUAAUAUUUAUUCAGUACAUUUAAGCUCCAUAAAAGAUCAACUAAAAUUACUGGGUGAUGAAUUUUUAGUCUUUUGUAGAGCUGACUCAAGAAGCAACACACAAAAAUUCCAAUGUACCUGUACUGUCCUGUACCUGUGCAAAUGGCAAUAAACAUCUAUUUAUUCUAUGAAAAGGCUUAAAUUUUUACUUAAGCUGAGUUUUUCAGCAUGAUUCGACAGUUGUAGAGAUUUGGGUCCUGUCGGCUCCAGAAGUCUGUUCCAUCUACUGUGUGAUUUAAUAAUGAACGACAACCAGGCACACACCUGAGACACCUCACGACCUCCUGACAGUAAAGUCUAGCAUGUCUGAUUUUGUCCUGCCUUCUACAAUUGUUCCAUGAACCCAGUGAUGUUUGUAAGACCACAUAGCGCUCUGCACAAGCAUCAGUCACAAAUGUAAACAAAACAAAGGGCAAUGGCCAAAGAAUAAAGACGAAGUCUGUGCUGUUAGAUGGGACAAUGAGUUGAAGGAAAAGUUUGUUGAGCUCUGAAAACAACACAACUAGUAGCUGGUUCUCCUCAAAUGACGCUGAUUGGUCUGGUUCAUUCUCAGACCUGGCACAAUCGUUUCAGACUGGAACUGAAUCUGCCUGAUGACAAGACAUGGAAUCUGGUCCAUCCUUUAUGGUUUUAUGAUGUGCUGUAGAGGGACUACCAUAACAGACUGAUAAAAGAUAAAUACUGGCAAGCAACAACAACCAGUGAGUCAGUGCUGUUAGCAUUAGCAUCAGGCUAGCCUAUCAUUCAUUGUCAUGUUUGGUUAGACAGGCAUAUACAGUAUAGCACAGUAAAUACAGUAUAUUGUUGCCAAAGAUUUUAGAAGGGAGUGUGGGGCCCUGUCUACUCUGAGGAUGUCAAAAUGAGAUAUACAGAUAUUUAUUUUAGAGUAAUGUUAGUAACAUAAUGUACCAUGGUGUGCUAAAGCCUCCCUAAAUGAUUAAAAAUGAAGAGGAUCCUUUGAUUUUUGAGGGAAAAAAGUACAUUUUUGAGAUUGAGAAGUCACGUAUUUACCAAGAGACCAAACUCAGAAUGUCUGAGUUAAAAAAGUUGUACAUUUUCUGGGAAAAAGCAGGAAAUUGCGACGUUUAAAAGCUGUAUAUUUUGACAUCAUAAACUCAAAAAUUGUAAGUUUUAAAGUCUUAAAUUUACAACAUUUUUACAGUCAAAAAUUUUACGUGAAACCAUAUUGAAAACAAUUGCAGAAUAACCCCAGUUUACAGAAAUGUCUCUUCUAAAUCCAGAUUGUGAUGAUAAUCAGAUUAUUCUGGGCUAAAAUCACAAAUACUUCCUUAUUGCUCAGUCCCAGUGAGGGGUGUCAUCUGAUUAGGCUCUCAAAUGCAGGACUACAUCUGGUGUGUAAUCUGGUAGGAUUUUCUCACACUCAAUUGGCCAUUUUUCAACUUUAUGGUCUCAAAAAUUCUCCACUUUGUUUCAUACAAAUCUACAGCUUUUAAAGUAGAAAGCCUUUUUUUCCCUCAUAAAUUUACAACUUAUUAAACUUGAAAACUUUUAGCAUUCUCUUGAAAUCAAAAGAUACUCCUUAUUCUUCUUAGAGUAGCCCUUAUAUGCUGUUGUAAUAAUGGAUAGUUUACACAAAGAUCUUUUGGCAAGGAUUUAUUACAUUAUUAGGCCUAUUAUGUUGGGAUUUUGCGAUGUUUAAUUUUUCCAAGUGGGUUCUGGGGGGGCUUAGCUUUUCUUAGACAUGAGUAGGGGGGUCCUUAUAGAAAAACGGCCGGGAACCACUGUCCUAAACUGACUUUGUAACCAUCAUAACAAACUGUGAAAUUGUGUAGUCUGACCUCAUCUUUAGUGAAAUCUAACAUUAUGCAGACAAAAUCUUACAGCCUUCUUGAAACACUCAUUCUCCCAAAGAAGAGAUCAAAAACUCUUUUGUAGUCCAUCACUUUCUAUCUCCCAAAAUUAGGGGUAUAAAGGUCCUUAAAUAAAACUGACUUUAAACAAAUGUGAUCCACAGAAGAUGAAUAUUUUUAAAUGCUUUUUAAUGUUGCUGUAUUUUCUUCUGUUUGCAGUGGGCUGCUUAGAUAACCAGCUGCUUUUAUUUAGCUUCAUACUGAAUGGAUAUAGUCUCUCAAAGAGCUAAUAAGCAGAAUCCCUUCAUUAGAAGCUUUAAAGGCACUGUUAAGAACUGUUGGUUUGUG